Anarrhichthys ocellatus (wolf-eel) is the source of this 990-nucleotide long non-coding RNA. RefSeq lists it as uncharacterized. NCBI's taxonomy places the organism in Eukaryota, Metazoa, Chordata, Actinopteri, Perciformes, Anarhichadidae. The record is from RefSeq and is a predicted model, not a curated record. The transcript is spliced from 2 exons.
GAGAGAGAGAGAGAGAGAGAGAGAGAGAGAGAGAGAGGCUUAACCACGUUGCCCGUCCUCAUACAUCCCUCUGCAGCUGUGUGAGGCAGAGUGAGCGGAGGAGAGGCGGGAGCACAUCUGAGUCCCGUGGAAACAGCAGGACCACGUACCACUUGGCCGAGAGAUCGAUGCACUUACGCCAAGCCACACAGGGAGGGUGAGUGGCCCGUAGGACGUCCGCGUACUGCCACAGAGAGAGAAAGCGAGUGAGCGAGGAGCCAGAGGGACAGCGAGAGGGAAGAAGAUUACCCAAGGCCAAUUUGAAAGCUUUCAUCUGGUCACUCGGAGCAGCUGUUUGCCUCUUCUGUCUGAACACACUGAUGUCCUGGCAGCUGUUGCACAGCAAGAAGAAGAGGUAAGAAGGAUCUGGUCCACAGUGUUCAUUAUUGUAUCAAAGUCAGGGGAAGGUAGAAGAGAGCAGUCUGGUCCGUGUCUCCUUUUUGUGGCUUAUGUGCGUAACGGAAAGCACAACCAACAGAGAUCAUCUGCCGAACAACGUUGUGUUCAGCAGCUUGUCAAAGAGCAAAUGAUAUUGUUCCCUGUACAGUGUGAAUUGCUUUAAACAGCUUCUUCCAUUAGAAAGUCAGCUGUUGAGCAAAUGAGUCACGUGUCAGAGCUUUCUGCUAAUGAAUAGAAUAGUAAUGAGCAAAGCAAACUUUUCACAGCCAAUCUGUGAACGAGGUUUAAUAUGCGAAACACAGUUGCACCAUAUUUACCUCUGAACAUGUUGAAUAUAAGUAUGAAUUUCUUCACCAACAUGUGUCUGAAGUAACCGACACUGCUUGCAUUGAGAAAAGGACUUGUCUGCUCAUCCGUCAAAGCAUCCAUGAAACUGACUAACUGACGCUCUCUGAACUCGACUCCAGUCGGGGAACAGGAUUUAAAAGAGAAGAAAAAAACAAAAAAACGCAUGAAUUUAAAUGAGGCUCUGUUGCAGCCAUGGAGGCCACA